UCUAGCUCAGUUGGUAGAGCACUGGUCUCCAAAACCAGGUGUCGUGAGUUCGAAUCUUAC
Molecule: transfer RNA, 60 nt
Filed under: pig gut metagenome
Rfam family: tRNA
About the family: Transfer RNA (tRNA) molecules are approximately 80 nucleotides in length.
Source: RNAcentral